UACGAAGGGGGCUAGCGUUGCUCGGAAUCACUGGGCGUAAAGCGCACGUAGGCGGGUUCUUAAGUCAGGGGUGAAAUCCUGGAGCUCAACUCCAGAACUGCCUUUGAUACUGGGAAUCUCGAGUCCGGGAGAGGUGAGUGGAACUGCGAGUGUAGAGGUGAAAUUCGUAGAUACUCGCAAGAACACCAGUGGCGAAGGCGGCUCACUGGCCCGGUACUGACGCUGAGGUGCGAAAGCGUGGGGAGCAAACAGG
RNAcentral lists this ribosomal RNA (253 nucleotides) under uncultured bacterium. RNAcentral describes it as "partial 16S ribosomal RNA". It matches the Rfam family "Bacterial small subunit ribosomal RNA", at positions 524 to 776 of the family's 1533-position model. The record is from RNAcentral.